AGCAUUUUAUUUAGCCAAGGAUGAUUUGCCUACACCUCGUUAUGAGUAUCUGCUGGUUAUGUCGAUCUCGAUUUCAGGUUCUGGGCAAGUUGUCCUCGACUACAUAUUUUGCUCU
Molecule: non-coding RNA, 115 nt
Organism: Picea glauca (white spruce)
Lineage: Eukaryota; Viridiplantae; Streptophyta; Pinopsida; Pinales; Pinaceae
Source: Rfam